This 451-nucleotide ribosomal RNA is filed under the name uncultured Fibrobacter sp. Its description in RNAcentral is "partial 16S ribosomal RNA". It matches the Rfam family "Bacterial small subunit ribosomal RNA", at positions 341 to 792 of the family's 1533-position model. Lineage: Bacteria; Pseudomonadati; Fibrobacterota; Fibrobacteria; Fibrobacterales; Fibrobacteraceae. The record is from RNAcentral.
ACGGGAGGCAGCAGUGGGGAAUAUUGGGCAAUGGGGGGAACCCUGAUGCAGCAACGCCACGUGUGGGAAGAAGCAUUUCGGUGUGUAAACCACUGUCGUGAGGGAAUAAUGCUUGGCUCCGGCCAAGUUGAAUGUACCUCGAAAGGAAGCACCGGCAAACUUCGUGCCAGCAGCCGCGGUAAUACGAGGGGUGCAAGCGUUGUUCGGAAUCACUGGGCGUAAAGGGAGCGUAGGCGGAGACGCAAGCAGUCUGUACAAUACCGUGGCCCAACCCCGGACCUGCAGACUGGACUGUGUCUCUUGGAUAGUUCAGGGGCAGGCGGAAUUCCUGGUGUAGCGGUGGAAUGCGUAGAGAUCAGGAAGAACACCGAUGGCGAAGGCAGCCUGCUGGGGACUCAUCGACGCUGAGGCUCGAAAGUGCGGGUAGCAAACAGGAUUAGAUACCCUGGUA